CCUACGGGUGGCAGCAGUGGGGAAUAUUGCACAAUGGGCGCAAGCCUGAUGCAGCCAUGCCGCGUGUGUGAAGAAGGCCUUCGGGUUGUAAAGCACUUUCAGCGGGGAGGAAGGCGGUGAGGUUAAUAACCUCAUCGAUUGACGUUACCCGCAGAAGAAGCACCGGCUAACUCCGUGCCAGCAGCCGCGGUAAUACGGAGGGUGCAAGCGUUAAUCGGAAUUACUGGGCGUAAAGCGCACGCAGGCGGUCUGUCAAGUCGGAUGUGAAAUCCCCGGGCUCAACCUGGGAACUGCAUUCGAAACUGGCAGGCUAGAGUCUUGUAGAGGGGGGUAGAAUUCCAGGUGUAGCGGUGAAAUGCGUAGAGAUCUGGAGGAAUACUGGUGGCGAAGGCGGCCCCCUGGACAAAGACUGGCGCUCAGGUGCGAAAGCGUGGGGAGCAAACAGGAUUAGAUACCCUAGUAGUC
Molecule: ribosomal RNA, 465 nt
Filed under: uncultured Klebsiella sp.
Lineage: Bacteria; Pseudomonadati; Pseudomonadota; Gammaproteobacteria; Enterobacterales; Enterobacteriaceae
Description: bacterial SSU rRNA
Rfam family: Bacterial small subunit ribosomal RNA
Source: RNAcentral